AUCGCUUCUCAGCCUUUUGGCUAAGAUCAAGUGUGAAUGAAGAUCUCAAAUUUUCCUUUUGAAUCAAUCUUAAAAAUUAUAUAAGCAGCCCUGGCUGGAAAUUUUGAACCUCCAUACUAAACCUUCAAGGAGAAAGCCAGA
Molecule: small nuclear RNA, 141 nt
Organism: Panthera leo (lion)
Lineage: Eukaryota; Metazoa; Chordata; Mammalia; Carnivora; Felidae
Gene: U2
Rfam family: U2 spliceosomal RNA
About the family: U2 is a small nuclear RNA (snRNA) component of the spliceosome (involved in pre-mRNA splicing).
Source: Ensembl